GCAGACAGAGGGCGAGCAACCAGGAGAGAGAGACAGGAGGAGAGGACGGCAGACAGAGGGAAACAGAGGUAUGGGCAGGAGCUGGAGUGGGACCAUCACAUUUUGCUUCUUUUUAUGCUGAUUUUUGCUUCAUUUUGUGUCACAUCGUGACUGUUUUACAUUAUUUGUGAGUAUGAUUGGUUGAUUUUUCUCAUUUUGUUGUCUCAGAUUGUGAAGUCAAAAGGGAGAGCGUCCCCAAACACACCAACUGGUGGAUGUAAAACACACUCCAGGCCUGAAGGGGCAACAUAAGCACAGGAGUGGAACUAAAAAAUGACAACCAGUGCUUCCACAGGGACACAAUUUACCUGGGCGCCGUCUCAUCCAGCAGGCCUUAAAAUGUUUGGUGAUCAGUCAGUCUUCCUUUGAUCCUGGUCGUCAUAUGAAGUAAGACACAGCUGCUGUUUGGACCGUGAGGACGCAUCUGGUAGGACUAAUUAAGAGAACUUGAAAUGUUUGUUUUGUAUAAACAAAUUGAGGUUUAAUUUAAUGAAUUUGGUUCACACAAGAUUAAGUUGAAAGUCAAUUCAAAUUUAUUUAGUAAAUGUGUAAAUUAAAUUUCUUUGAUUUUAAAGAACACAUGAUGUUUGAAAAUACUGUCUUUUUUCCAAUUCAUAUUGAAGGUUAUCAACCUGUCAACUUUCAUUCCACCUUUAAACCAAAAGCAGCAAAAAAACAAAGAAACAAGACAGAGUUGUCCCUUUGUGAGCCGCAUGGUCAAACAGGCUUUUUACAAGUUUGAGCAAAGCUGUGUCGAAACACAUACAGAACUUGCCACAGAUUAAGAAUUUAGUGAGUUUCCUGGUGAUUUCGCAUCUUUCUAUGCUGAUUUUUGAUUCAUUUUUUUUGUCACAUCUUGACUGUUUUACAUUAUUUGAGAGUAUGAUUGGUUGAUCAUUUGUUUUGUCAUUUUGUUGUCUGUGAGGAUUUCUUCAGUUUCCUGGUCAUUUUGCUGCAUUUUUUAAAAAUAACAUCUUGAGUGUUGCAUUAUUUGUGUGUGACUGAGUUUUGUCAUUUUGUUGUCUCAGAUUGAGGAUUUAGUGAGUUUCCUGGCGAUUUCGCAUCUUUAUGCUGAUUUUUGCUUCAUUUUGUGUUGCAUCGUUGACUGUUGCAUUAUUUGAGUAUGAUUGGUUGAGUUUUGUCAUUUUGUUUCUCAGGAUUUUGUGAGUUUCCUGGUGAUUUUUGCAUUUUUUUUAUGCUGAUUGUUGCUUCAUUUUGUCACAUCUUGACUGUUUUGUAUUGCCUGAUUUUAUCAUUUUGUUGUCUCAGAUUGAGGAUUUAGUGAGUUUCCUGGUCACAUGACUAGGACGAUGUAUACAUUUUAUUUUAAUAGGAUCUUUGUAUAUCUUAAUAUAGUCCCAUUAUAAACCUGGUUUACAUCCUCCCCUCCUUAAACCAGGCACGUCCCGUUGCAUUUUAAACGUAAACAUGAAUAGACUGCACAAUAGAUUCGGGAGAGGUGGAAACACUUAGGAUAUCGGACACAUUUUGGAGCAAUGUCUGAACUACAGAUAUAAGCGGGUUACCAGGGGUGUUGUAAUCUAGUCGUUUAGGUGGCGCUCUCUGACAAAUUGAGCGUCUAAGCAUAAAACCACUGUUAACUACAUCCCCAGCAGUGGCAACUGGUGAGUUAAUAGUCAGGCUCAGACUGAACUGGAUCUUCAGGCAAGUUUUAAUCCAUCGAAACUACGGUAGGUAUGUUUACGGGCUCAGGUGAGUUUACAGGUAAGUUGUCUGCGUUUGAUUCAUUUCCUUGAUCCUCUUCUCUUUCCUCCACACUUGACUCCGACUCAUUGUUGCUCGUCUCCGGCUCAAGUUUGUCAAGAGGGACAGAACUGAUGGAACAGGGAGUUGGAGAACGGAUUUCGUCAGGUUCACUUCUGACAGACAGCUGGAACUGGACGCGUUUUCUCCACAGUGAAGCAGAUAGCAGGUAAGUCAAGACUUAGGGGGACCAUGUCCUCAGACUCUUCAGCAGCAGGUGAGUCGAUGUGGACAUCGGGAUCAGGAUUAAGACGAGUGCGUGGUCGAGUUACAGGAGACUAUCCACAGGGAACAUCACUAUUCUCAUUGGCCGGAAGAAAGCCGCAUGGAAGGAGGAGGUCUCUAUGGAGAGAGUGCGUACAGGUCCAUCUUUGCACUCAGGCUUUACUUUGUAAACUGGGAGAUCUCCAGCUCUGCUGAUCACAACAAAGACAUCUCUCACAUUUAUCUGAGUUUGUUUUCCUCUGAGGUGUACGUUCCUCCCAAGCACUCUGUCUCCCACUUCCGAUGCUGAUGGUAUGAUUCGCUGGUCGAAGCGUGUUUUAAUUCGUUCAGCACAUUUGAGGGUGUUCUUUUAAGCAAUCUUGAAGCUCUCUUCAAGGCAUGACUUUAAGUCUUGCACAUACUGUGAAUAGAUUUUGUGCUUGUUUUCCUGCAGUGGGAGACCAAAAGCAAGGUCAACAGGCAGACGAGGCCAUCGUCCAAACAUUAGCUCAUACGGGGCAUAACCGGUAACCUCGUUCUUGGUGCAAUUAUAUGCAUGAACUAAUGGCUUCACAUAGUCUUUCCAUUUUGAUUUCUGUUUUUCCUCCAGUGUUCCAAACAUGCUAAAGAGUGUAUGAUUAAAUUGUUCCACUGGAUUGCCUCUUGGGUGGUAUGGUGUCGUACGGCUCUUUUGAAUACCUGCCACCUCACACAGCUGUUUAAUUAGCCUUGACUCAAAAUCCGGCCCCUGGUCAGUAUGGAUUCUCUCAGGGAUGCUGUAGUAAAUGACAAAAUUGUCCCAUAAACACUUUUCCACAGUUCUUUCUUUUUUGUUUGGCGUUGGAAUGGCCACUGCAAACUUGGUAGAGUGAUCUGUUAGAACAAGUGUCUCUGGUGUUGAGUCAGGCUUGAGGCUCAGGAAAUUGAUACACAGCAGUUCGCGAGAACACGAAGGGAUGACGUUAACCAGUGGAGCAGAUUUAUUGGGCAAUGCCUUCCUCCGGACACAACGACCACAAGUCUCGAUUUUGUGUUCUAAAUCCAUGGCCAUUUUGGGCCAGAAAAAGUCCCAAUUUAAACCUGGGUUAGACACAUCUUGACUGUUUUACAUUAUUUGUGAGUAUGAUUGGUUGUCUUUUGUCAUUUUGUUGUCUCAGAUUGAGGAUUUAGUUUGCUGGUGAUUUUUGCAUCUGUUUAUGCUGAUUGUUGCUCCAUUUUGUGUUGCAUCUUGACUGUUUCACAUUAUUUUCAAAUGAUUGGUUGACUUUUGUUUUCUGAGUAUUUAGUGAGUUUCCUGGUCAGUUUGCUUCAUUUUGUGUCGCAUCUUGACUGUUUUACAGUAUUUGUCAGUGUUAUUGCUUUUUGUCAUUCUCUCUCAGAUUGAGGAUUUGGUGAGUUUCCUGGUCAUUUUGUUGCAUCUUGACUGUUUCACAUUUGAGUAUGAUUAGUUGAUUCUGUCUUGCAGUGUGCAAUUGUAUUUUUCUUUGAAAUACUAUGGCUUUUAUUUUUUUUUGGACAAUUCAUAAUCUUUUUCAAUUCAUCUUUUUUCAAAGUAACCUGCUCUAGUGUUUUUCACGGUGUACUUCACAUUAUCAUAUGGCGUGUCUUCAUGGCAUGUUGGGGAAAAAUGGCCUUAUUUCAACAUACUAAGGUGUUAAUUUUGGACAAAAUUUAUGAUUUGUUUCAAAGGAAACUGCUCUAUGGUGUUUUAACAGCCUACUUUAAAUCAUUUCAUUUUGCAAUGUGUGUGUUUGUAUCCUUGUUCUACAUACUGUUCUAUGGCGUUGAGUUUGGACAAUAUUCAUGAUUUUUUUUUUUUUUAACCAAAGAAAACUGCCCUAUAGUGUUUUUCACAGCCUACUUUACAUUAGUUCAUCUUGCAGUGUGCGUUUGUAUUUUUGUUUGACAUACUAUACUAUGGCAUUUAUUUUGGACAAAAUUCAUGAUCCUUUUUUUUUUUCUUUUCAAAGAAAACUGCUCUAUCGUGUUUGUCACAGCCUACUUUACAUUAGUUCAUCUUGCAGUAUGUGUUUAUCUGGCAGUGUGUUUGUAAUUUCCAGUGUGCGAUUAUGUGUUGCAGUGUGUUUAUACUUUUGUUCGGUAUAAUACACUAUGGUGUAUAUUUUGUCCAAAAUUCCUGAUCAUUAUUUUUUUCAAAGAAACCUGUUCUAUAGUGUUUUUGUCAGGCUAGCUGCUGCCAGGCCUAGAUGGUGCCUCUCUCUCAGGGUGGCUCAGCAGUGCAGAAGCGACAACAGGUGUGACUUAUCAGCAAUCCUCAGCUGGAACUAGGAGCAGGUGGAGCUCAUCUAAUCAAGCACACCCUGCCUCAGUCUUACCAGACGCCUCACAACUCAAGCGCCAGCUCGUGACACAUCAGUUUUGGUUCCACCUGCUCCUAGUAGAGUCCUCUACGCCCGAUUCUGGUCUCCACUUUGGUAAAAAGGGAAAUCUCUCCAGGCCAUCGUAAGUAAAGUUUAUUUAUAUAGCACUUUUCACAGAUAUAAAAAUCACAAAGUUCUUUACAUUCAAAGAAAAGGAAAAUGAGACGUUAAAAUAAGCCUCCAUGAUGUAAAAUCACACAUGUAAAGACACACACCCUUGGGCGUCUCCUCAAUUCACCUAUUGUCUGUCGUCCCCCCCCCCACCACCACCACCUGGCCCUGCACUCUGGCUUCCUCCACUGUGAAUCAUCCUGAGCAUCACUGAGAAUUUGUGAGUUGGUUAGUUUGGCUGUAGUCUCUGCUCUUGUACAGAGCAUCGUUCAGAGUAUUCUUUAUUUGUAGUAUUCACUCGAACCUUGUGGUUAUAGUAAAUUGGUUUGUUUUAUAGCAGUUAAGUGUCCCCUACCGUGAAUAGGAAUUAUUUGGUGUCAUUUCUUUGUUGUUGUAGUUUCCAGCCACUAGUAGUCUGAGUGUUUGGAGCCCAUUGUCUCCAGUUCAGUUUCCUGUGUAGUUGCCAUCUUGGUUUGUAGUUUCCUGGAACAGCUGUAAAAAAGCAAAUUGUGUUGCAUUCAAAGACCGUCGGUUAUUUCCUGAGCCAACCCAACAUCGUAACUUUUUCACGGUCUACUAUACAUUAUUUCAUCAUAUGGCAUGUUGGGAAAAAUGGCGUUUUGACAUACUAUGGUGUUAAUGUUGGACAAAAUUCAUGUUUUUUUUUUUUUUGUU
Molecule: long non-coding RNA, 5174 nt
Organism: Acanthochromis polyacanthus (spiny chromis)
Lineage: Eukaryota; Metazoa; Chordata; Actinopteri; Pomacentridae
Exons: 2
Source: RefSeq, a predicted model, not a curated record